Molecule: long non-coding RNA, 1203 nt
Organism: Coregonus clupeaformis (lake whitefish)
Lineage: Eukaryota; Metazoa; Chordata; Actinopteri; Salmoniformes; Salmonidae
Exons: 2
Source: RefSeq, a predicted model, not a curated record
CUUUCCAAAGAGAACUGGCAGACCGCUCAGGAAUAAGCCAGUCGUGUUUGAGCCGUGCAAUGCCACCUGUAUGGGACGGCAUCAUCCGCUUGUCUACCAGGUAUAUAACGUUCCCAUACGAUGCAGGUGACCAGCCAAACAUCAAAGCGCAAUUUGCAGCGAUAGCCGGUUUUCCUAAUGUAAUCGGAGCGAUCGACUGCACACAUAUUGCUAUAAAGGCGACAUCUGAAGACGAAUUUGCAUAUGUGAAUCGGAAACAUUUCCAUUCAAUAAAUGUGCAGAUUAUAUGUGAUGCACAAAUGCGCCUAACAAAUAUUGUGGCAAGGUGGCCUGGGUCAACCCAUGAUUCAUAUAUCCUUACAAACAGCAUGGUUGGGAUGAGACUCCAAGCUGGCAGGGUGCGCGAUGGGUGGCUACUUGGUAAGUUAUGCAUUUAAAUGUAUGGUUCUAUCUAAAAGUAAAAUGUUUGUGUCUGUAAUUAUUAUUACUGCCCAUCAGGAGACAGUGGUUAUCCACUAAAGACGUGGCUGUUAACCCCCUCACCAACCCACAAACUGACCGAGAGCGCAGAUACAAUGAUGCCCAUUCCCGCACUCGGUCAGUUGUGGAGCGGGCGAUUGGGCAGCUGAAAUGUCGGUGGCGCUGCCUUGACAGGACCGGGGGAUGCUGUUAUACCGCCCUGACAAGGUUUGCCGCAUCAUACUGGCCUGUGGAGUGCUGCACAAUGUCGCGCACAGGCAUGGCAUACCCCUUGGUGAGGUGGGGGCACCGCCAGAGGACCCUGACCCAGGACCAGUAUAUGUGCAGCACAAUCAACAAGCCAUUCAGGCCCGUCAACGUGUAAUUGCGACAAUAUAAAUGAACAGCAUGCGUCAAGACACGGCCAGAUGGACGGGCUUCAGCACUGGGGGGAACAUUAGAGACACGGGAGACGCUGGACUGAAUGGGCUCUGGCUGCUCAGGUGGUGCGGACUCUGAGUGCGUGCCAGUGGACGUUCCUGCGGUUCCUAAGUCCAAUUAAACACAGGCACAUCUUAACAGUAAUUUGAGUCUGUUCCUUAUUAAUGGGUACACGCAUUUGCAAUAAAAGCAGUGGAUACGUGAAAUCUCUGGUGUACCUUUUGCUAUAUUGCAUGCAUUUUAAAAUUAAACGGUGGCUGGCUAUGUAUAUCAAAGUUAAGGAAAUAAAUCUGAGUCACCUUG